AACGCACGAGACCUGCGGACCUGCGGAGGGAUCAUUACAAAAGUUAUACACUUGGGGAACGGACUCGUCUUUCGGGACUUGAGGCCUGACUCCAUUUGUAACACAACUUCAACCACUUGUGAACAUGUAAUAAUAUCUCACCAAUUGACUGUUAACGAAGUCUGAUUCAAAUUGUAUUGGUGUUAAUAGACACUAGUAAAAUAUGAAACAACUUUCAACAACGGAUCUCUAGAUCGGAAG
Molecule: unclassified non-coding RNA, 240 nt
Filed under: soil metagenome
Description: partial contains 5.8S ribosomal RNA, internal transcribed spacer 2, and large subunit ribosomal RNA
Source: RNAcentral